This 253-nucleotide ribosomal RNA is filed under the name uncultured bacterium. RNAcentral's name for it is "partial 16S ribosomal RNA". It matches the Rfam family "Bacterial small subunit ribosomal RNA", at positions 524 to 776 of the family's 1533-position model. The record is from RNAcentral.
UACGUAGGGUGCAAGCGUUAAUCGGAAUUACUGGGCGUAAAGCGUGCGCAGGCGGUUAUGUAAGACAGGUGUGAAAUCCCCGGGCUUAACCUGGGAACUGCAUUUGUGACUGCAUAGCUAGAGUACGGUAGAGGGGGAUGGAAUUCCGCGUGUAGCAGUGAAAUGCGUAGAUAUCGGAAGGAACACCGGUGGCGAAAGCGGCGCGCUGGAUCUCUUCUGACGCUGAGGCGCGAAAGCCAGGGGAGCAAACGGG